RNAcentral lists this small RNA (492 nucleotides) under Pan troglodytes (chimpanzee). RNAcentral describes it as "sense intronic". Lineage: Eukaryota; Metazoa; Chordata; Mammalia; Primates; Hominidae. The record is from RNAcentral.
GUUACCAGUUACCUCUGUGAGAACUUUGGACAGGUUACCACUUUCGGAUUUUUUUUUUUUUUUUUUUUUUUUUUUAAUCUUGAGACAGGGUCUGCCUCUGUGGCCCAGGCUGGAGUCCAGUGGGCCAUCAUAGCUCACGGCAGUUUCGGCUUUCCUGGGCGCAAGCGGUUCUCUCCUUCCUCAGCUCCCCAAAUACCUGGGACUACAGGUGUGAGCCACCACACCCGGCUCAUUUUUUAAACUCUAAAUAGACAUAGUAGCAAGGGUACCCAACCUCACUGAUUGAGGAUUAAAUGAGUUGUUAUAUGUAAACUGUCUAGCACCUACCAAAUGUUGUUUUUCCUUUAUAAUCAAAUACAUGAUUAAGGAGCAGUGAUUGGAAGUUUGGAAGCAGGCACCUCAUUAUUAUUCAUGUCUACCACCUAUUAUUUCUUUAUUUUGAGAUGGAGUCUUGCUCUGUCACCUAGGCUGGAGUGCAGUGGUGGGAUCUUG